GACGUAGGGCGCGAGCGUUGUCCGGAUUUAUUGGGCGUAAAGAGCUCGUAGGCGGUUUGGUAAGUCGGAUGUGAAAUCUCCAGGCUCAACUUGGAGGGGUCAUUCGAUACUGCCAUGACUAGAGUCCGGAAGAGGCGAGUGGAAUUCCCGGUGUAGCGGUGAAAUGCGCAGAUAUCGGGAGGAACACCGAUGGCGAAGGCAGCUCGCUGGGACGGUACUGACGCUGAGACGCGAAAGCGUGGGGAGCAAACAGG
Molecule: ribosomal RNA, 254 nt
Filed under: uncultured bacterium
Lineage: Bacteria
Description: partial 16S ribosomal RNA
Rfam family: Bacterial small subunit ribosomal RNA
Source: RNAcentral